RNAcentral lists this ribosomal RNA (251 nucleotides) under uncultured prokaryote. Its description in RNAcentral is "partial 16S rRNA". It matches the Rfam family "Bacterial small subunit ribosomal RNA", at positions 525 to 775 of the family's 1533-position model. The record is from RNAcentral.
ACGUAGGUGGCAAGCGUUGUCCGGAAUAACUGGGCGUAAAGCGCAUGUAGACGGCAUGAUAAGCCAAAUGUGAAAUGUAGGGGCUCAACCCCUACACUGCGAUUGGAACUGUCAAGCUUGAGUGCAGGAGAGGCAAAUGGAAUUCCCAGUGUAGCAGUGAUAUGCGUAGAGAUUGGGAUGAACACGAAUAGCGAAGGCGAGUUACUGGUCUGCAACUGACGUUUAGAUGCGAAAACCAGGGGAGUAAACGG